CAGCCUGCUAUUGGGAACAUCAGAAGGAACCCACUGUCCACACCUAAGCUCAUCCCCACUCGAUUUAUGGUGCUCUAAGUUCAGAGGCAGCAGCUUCUCUUCUAGGGCAAUCACUUCCCUUAGCAGCCCAAAGAGUUGAGAUGUUGAUCCUGUGGGGUGACCUGCUUGCUGUCUCUUGGAAGAUGUUUUUUGGUGGCACUGGUGCAGAAGUUGUAGAAGGACAGAGCGGGAGACAUGUUAAAGGAUUUUAGGACUCCUGAGUCUUGUGUACAGACCUUCAAGAUCUCCCUCACCUCCUGGUAUGCCAUGAAGCGUUGGACCAAAGCCCAAAAUAAGAAGAUGAGGGUCAGAAAGGACUAGGUAAGAGGAGCUCUUUCUAGCUCAUGUGCCACUACAGACUUUGGCAGGAGAGCCUUCCUCUGAAUUCUUUAUGAGAGUCAUCUUUCCCUCCCCUGAAUACCCACAGUCCUUUUCCAACCCUCUCCUUUGAAUAUGUUUACUCAGUAUUUAUUAAUUACCUGCCUGGGGCCAGACAUACUCUUAUGGCUUCCACCACUUCCCCACCAUUAGUUAUUUGAGUAAAAGGAUGGAGAAAAUUUUAUUCCCCCUAUUUCCAGGAUCCCAAGGAAGGAAGACCAAUCUAGGGGAUGUGCUCACUGUGAGAGAAGCAAGGUGGGCUUACAUUUUGCAGAGAAACCUAUGAGAUGAGACAGGUCAUUGUUUGGCGAGCUUGGACUUUGGGAGCUGGUGGACAAUGUGUUGAGGGUCACCAAAGUGGC
Molecule: long non-coding RNA, 779 nt
Filed under: Sus scrofa (pig)
Lineage: Eukaryota; Metazoa; Chordata; Mammalia; Artiodactyla; Suidae
Description: lncRNA (ENSSSCG00070012941.1)
Source: RNAcentral